Molecule: non-coding RNA, 62 nt
Organism: Xenopus tropicalis (tropical clawed frog)
Lineage: Eukaryota; Metazoa; Chordata; Amphibia; Anura; Pipidae
Source: Rfam
GUUUCUGUAGUGUAGUGGUUAUCACGUUCGCCUCACACGCGAAAGGUCCCCGGGCAGAAACA